UGUGCCAGCUACGCCUAUUGGACCAAAUUACGAAUGUGGUAGAAAACUAUUAGCAGAAGAGAGUCUAAUGUCUGGCAAAGAUCUGGAAUGUACAUUCCACUUGAGUGAAUCCAUUUCCUCUACUCUGAGAACCUUGGCUGUUUAUAGAGAAGAUCAAUUAGAAGCUGCUGAUAAUAAAUUGCACAAAAUAACAAGUUUCAUAAAACCUGUACAGCAACUGGUUGAUUCAAAUUCUAU
Molecule: long non-coding RNA, 237 nt
Organism: Hyposmocoma kahamanoa
Lineage: Eukaryota; Metazoa; Arthropoda; Insecta; Lepidoptera; Cosmopterigidae
Exons: 3
Source: RefSeq, a predicted model, not a curated record